This is a long non-coding RNA of Apis mellifera (honey bee), 777 nucleotides long. RefSeq lists it as uncharacterized. NCBI's taxonomy places the organism in Eukaryota, Metazoa, Arthropoda, Insecta, Hymenoptera, Apidae. The transcript is spliced from 3 exons. The record is from RefSeq and is a predicted model, not a curated record.
AAUUCCUUACAUUCUAAUGGAAAUAAUUUCCCAAAAAUAUGGAAUCAUUCGUAACUGGAAAUUCUUGAGAUAUCAUAAUUGGCAAUUCAUAAAGCCAAAAAAAGAAGAUCGCUAACACCAUGAAAGUGACUAGAAAAGGAAACAUAUAGAACAUUUUCAUGAUCAUUCGUCUGAUGGCUCAAAAAUUACCCGUAGAUAUCGCGACCACUACAGUGAGCAAUUGUACAUCCUGACCAGAGUUGACACAAGAAAAGUAUGCUAUUCUAAAAAGAAGACAUGACGUCAUAUUACCUCCCAUUGAUAUUGCUAUAUUAGACAGAGGCACAUCAUGAUGACAUGAUGUAAGACUUGAUAUUGGCGCAAGCUUCACGUGACGCACUUGUAUUUAAUGUAGCAAAUAUUGAACAUAAUAUAAUACAGGCUUUAUAGAACUUUUCAUAAUUUGGUAUCCCUUUCUUGUGAAGUAUGAAAAGAGAAUUGAAAAUAUUAUAUAUUAUUGUAUAUAUUUGCAGUAUAUAUUGGCAGUGAAACAAAAUAUGAUAGAUGAAAGAAUAUGGAAUCCAUUAAUAGUAAUGAAACUGAUAUAUGAAAUGAUGAUAAAAAAAAUUAUCUAAUUCAAACAUUGACAAAAUGAAAAUCUAUAAUGAAAAGAAAUCAAAGAUAAUUUUUGAUAAAUGUAUAAUUGGCAGAAUAAUAAUUUAUAUUGGAUAAGAAGUUAAUAAGAUUGCAAUUUUUCUAACAAUUGAAAAAGUUUAUGCAGCACUUUUAUAAAAUGAA